Long non-coding RNA from Daucus carota subsp. sativus, 256 nucleotides. RefSeq lists it as uncharacterized. Lineage: Eukaryota; Viridiplantae; Streptophyta; Magnoliopsida; Apiales; Apiaceae. The record is from RefSeq and is a predicted model, not a curated record. The transcript is spliced from 2 exons.
CCGUCCCAGGAGAUGAGGUUCUUAUUCCGGUUAACUAGGCUCACCUUCCAUAAACCAGACAUUCCAAUAGUAAGAAAUCUACGUGUAUAUAUGAAUUUUGAAGUCUAGAAACAUAAUCCCAUACAGGUAUUUAGUCUGGGCUAACAUAUUCAGCAGUCAGCACUACUAUAAUCAGGUACAUUGCCAUAGUCAGCAUGCCCACCUCCGAGCAGAACGAUAGCUUGACAUGGACAAACACGACCAAAUUCAUUUAGUU